GGUUAAGUUAGAAAGGGCGCACGGUGGAUGCCUUGGCACUAGGAGCCGAUGAAGGACGGGACUAACACCGAUAUGCUUCGGGGAGCUGUAAGUAAGCAUUGAUCCGAAGAUUUCCGAAUGGGGAAACCCACUACUCGUAAUGGAGUAGUAUCGAUACCUGAAUACAUAGGGUAUUUGAAGGCAUACCCGGGGAACUGAAACAUCUAAGUACCCGGAGGAAGAGAAAGCAAACGCGAUUUCCUGAGUAGCGGCGAGCGAAACGGAAUAUAGCCCAAACCAAGAGGCUUGCCUCUUGGGGUUGUAGGACACUCUAUAUGGAGUUACAAAGGAACGGGGUAGACGAAGAGAUCUGGAAAGAUCCGUCGUAGAAGGUAACAACCCUGUAGUCGAAACUUCGUUCCCUCUUGAGUGGAUCCUGAGUACGGCGGGACACGAGAAAUCCCGUCGGAAGCAGGGAGGACCAUCUCCCAAGGCUAAAUACUCCCUAGUGACCGAUAGUGAACCAGUACCGUGAGGGAAAGGUGAAAAGCACCCCGGAAGGGGAGUGAAAGAGAACCUGAAACCGUGUGCCUACAAGUAGUCAGAGCCCGUUAAUGGGUGAUGGCGUGCCUUUUGUAGAAUGAACCGGCGAGUUACGAUCCCGUGCAAGGUUAAGU
This 656-nucleotide ribosomal RNA is filed under the name Litchfieldia luteola. Its description in RNAcentral is "partial 23S ribosomal RNA". It matches the Rfam family "Bacterial large subunit ribosomal RNA", at positions 1 to 651 of the family's 2925-position model. Lineage: Bacteria; Bacillati; Bacillota; Bacilli; Caryophanales; Bacillaceae. The record is from RNAcentral.